CUGUAUCAGUUUGGGAGGAGGCAGCAUGGAAUGGAGAAAGGGAAUGGUUAUGCUAGACUAGAAAAGGCACAAUAUAAAGGAAACCAACAUGUAUUGAGCUCCUACUGUGUACAAGGCACCACACCAGAUGUUUCUGUGUAAGCCAACAAUUUGAUCUCCCCAACAGAUUAGAAGAUAUGUUUCCUAUUUCACAGAUGAGAAAACUAUUGUUCAUAGAAGCUAAUGCACACGUUCGUGGUCAGGACCCAACCCAAAGUCUCCAAGACCCUUGCUGCCUUCUGGGUCCUGGUAAGAUGGACUCAAUCCAGGUUUGGAUGUCCUACAUUUGAAGGGCCUAUGGGAUGGCUGGAGGGAAUGCUCAAGUGCCAGGGUUCCGGUUUAGGAUUGCUACACCAUAGGGUGUGGGGAGAGAAGGGUACACAAUAGAGACUGCUCUCCUCUUCUUAAGUAUUCAGAUUUCCCAAGUUUUAGCUGGACACAGCUAUCUGGAAUAAAGACUGUUUCUCAACUUCCUGUGAGGCUAGGGGUGUCCAUGUUGUGGUUUCUGAGGAGUGAGGGGUGGUGUGUUCUGCACACCUUUGCCAUUCUCUGCUCCUUUCUCCUUCCUAUAAACUGGAAUAAGGAUGUGAAGCUCAAGCAGCCAUUUUGCACCAUGAGGCAGUAGUACUCUGUUCCUGAUCAUGGUGGAACAAACUAAC
This 698-nucleotide long non-coding RNA is filed under the name Marmota monax (woodchuck). Lineage: Eukaryota; Metazoa; Chordata; Mammalia; Rodentia; Sciuridae. The record is from RNAcentral.